GUGUGCUGCAGCCCGUGGGUUCACAAAGAGUCGGCAAUGACCAAGAGACUGACCAACUGCUGCUCCCGCCCCCAGAACUGGUGAUCUGGCUCUGGAAGGCUCAGCUGCCCCACUGUUGUGUCUCUCAAGCUUGCAUCUGGUGGACACUGUCAGAGGAAAUUUUGCCUGGGCCACCUCACCUGCUCUUCUGGCCUCCAGCCUCCCUCCUGCUCCUGCUCGGAGAUAUUACUGCCACUUAGAGCUGAUCCUGUUCCUCCCCUGCUUGUGGCCCUUCCGUGGCUCCCCAGCGCCCUCUGGGGUCGUAGGUCUGGCUUCUCCAGUCUCAGAGUUCAGAUGCCCCCUGUAUCCAAGUGUCCGUCUCCCCCAGGCCUCCGGGGCGAGGUCCCUUCUACCCAGAAUGCCCUUCUCUGGUCACCAUGGCCACCAUUCUGAUCUCCCCUCAGGGUUCUGCCGGCUGGUCUUCUCUGUCUGGCUCAGAGGCUCAGGAAAGGGAGAGGGAGGCCAAGCAGCCCAGAGUCUGGAAGUCAUGGCCAUGAACUUUCAGGAAAAUGUGACCCUGGCCAUGGCCGUAUUCACAAUCCUCGCUUCCAUCUACUUCUUCAACAAGGCUCAGCAAUGAGAAGACACAGGACCACCUAACCCAAGAGUCCUGCCUCUGUCCCGACCAUGACUCUGGCCUCUGAGACCAAAUAAAUGUGACUGAGUCAGCACACCCUGCUCCAUCUCACCAGGCCGGCAGGCACACCG
Molecule: long non-coding RNA, 747 nt
Organism: Cervus elaphus (red deer)
Lineage: Eukaryota; Metazoa; Chordata; Mammalia; Artiodactyla; Cervidae
Exons: 3
Source: RefSeq, a predicted model, not a curated record